Molecule: unclassified non-coding RNA, 3111 nt
Organism: Stylophora pistillata
Lineage: Eukaryota; Metazoa; Cnidaria; Anthozoa; Scleractinia; Pocilloporidae
Source: RefSeq, a predicted model, not a curated record
CAUUCGAAAACUAUUUCCCAGGGUAGCACCGUAGUUUAUUCCGCCCAUUGUUUCUUUGACGCUCAUUGUACUUUAGUUUGAGAAAAUUACCUGUAGUAGGCUGUGCUGAGUGAUAAAAGGUGUACCUUCCCACGCAUUUUCCUUUUCAAGAAAAAAGUGUCAGGAGUUGUGACGACCGCGAUCUUCCGCGAAGAGCAAAGCCUGUAGACUUAGCCAUCUGUCACGAAGUUUACGUUAAAUUACUGAGGAGGGCAGGAGUGCACUUUCCAGCAAAUGAGAUGUCCAAGCAGAUAGACGUAACGGUGCCUGACUCUGAAACACUGAGCUCAGAGAAAUCCAAGCGAUUUACGGUGUACAAAGUACUGAUCAAACUACCAGAUGGAAGGAGCUACUUCAUUUUCAGAAGAUACAAUGAAUUUCAUCAGAUGUGUGAUAAGCUUAAAAAGCUGUAUCCUGACUUGCAUCUUAAACUACCUGGCAAGAGACUAUUAGGAAAUAACUUUGACCCUGAGUUUAUCAAGAUCAGAAGAGAAGGUCUUAAUGAUGUCACACAAAAGAUCAUCAAUCACCCAAAAGCCAUUGAAAACCCUGAGGUGAGGGAAUUCUUCUCACUUGAUAAUCCCAAGAAUACUGAGAACAAUGAUGAUGAUGACCAUCCUGGAGCUGAUGAGUCUGAAACUCAGGCAAAGGAUAUGGAUGUUGACUUAGCAGGAACCAACAAUCCAAAGGCAAAACCCAGUGAUUUCUUAUUCUUAAAGGUGAUUGGAAAAGGGAGCUUUGGAAAGGUAUUCCUGUCAAAGAACAAGGCAGAGGAUAAAUUCUAUGCCAUCAAAGUUCUCAACAAGGCUGCUAUCAGAAAAAGAAAUGAGGCAAAACAUAUCAUGGCAGAACGGAAUGUUCUGUUGAAGAAUAUCAAGCAUCCAUUUUUGGUGGGUCUCCACUAUUCUUUCCAAACAAGGGACAAGCUAUACUUUGUCUUAGAUUAUGUCAAUGGUGGUGAGCUUUUCUUUCAUUUGCAAAGAGAGAGAUAUUUCCCUGAACCAAGGGCAAAGUUCUAUGCUGCAGAAAUUGCAUCAGCAAUUGGGUAUCUACACUCUCUUAAAAUCAUUUAUAGGGACUUGAAACCAGAAAACAUUCUCUUAGAUUAUAAGGGGCAUAUAGUUUUAACAGACUUUGGACUUUGCAAGGAGGGAAUAGAAACAUCUGGUACUACAUCAACUUUCUGUGGCACACCAGAGUACCUUGCACCUGAAGUUCUUAAGAAACAGGAAUAUGACAAUUCUGUUGAUUGGUGGUGCCUUGGCGCAGUCUUAUAUGAAAUGAUGUAUGGUUUGCCCCCAUUUUACAGUCGUAAUACAGCAGAAAUGUAUGACAACAUUUUGCACAAACCACUACGUCUGAGGAGCAAUAUUUCUGAGAGUGCAAGGACCCUUCUUGCAGGGCUCCUGCAGAAGGAUCGUACUAAGAGAUUUGGACGAGAUCACGAUUUUGAUGAAAUAAAGAAUCAUGAAUUCUUUAGAUCCAUCGACUGGCAGUUGUUAUAUGACAAGAAGGUAGACCCACCUUACAAUCCAAAUGUGAGUGGUCAACUUGAUCUAAAGCAUUUUGAUCCUGAAUUUGUACGAGAACCUGUACCAGGAUCAGUUGGUAAAUCUGCUGACUCCUCUUUCUUGAGCGCCAGUGUCGAUGACCCAGAUGAUGCAUUUGUAGGCUUCACCUAUGUUCCCCCAACAGAUCUUACUGAAUGAGUUGAACAAGGAAUUUAACUUAAAUGUAAAUUUUCAAACAAAGUGCAAUAAUCAUAAGUUUAUCAUCACCAAGCUCAUCGCCUUUUUUGUUCCAGCAUUCUCUCUGCACCUUUUCCCUUCUAUAGUUAGCUUGUACUCAGUAGGAAUCAACAACUCUUCCUCCCAAGUCUCAUAAAAAGCAAAAACCUAGAUGAUCACAGAGGCCAAUCAACAGAAAGGAGAACAUCAGAAUGAGACAAGGAGAAACAGUAGAUACCUAUGGUGAAACUUAAGUGCCAAAAGCAUGAGUGGCAAAAUCAUAGUUGGUCUAAGUCUUGAGAGGGUGAUACAUGAUUUUUAAACCUACCUUAGAGCAUAGUGAAGCAGAACCAACACAAAUUUUCAUCCUCUUUUGAAUUAAGUAAUAACUUUCUCUGUGUCAGGUAAUUCCCAAUGAAGAAAAAGAAAAAUUUGUUGGAAACGUGGUAGAAACAAGCACUUAUGAAAAUGAUAAUGAUUAUAUUAUAAGAAUUACAAUGUACAUAUACAAUUUGAUAUGUUCUUGAAUGGCAUUGGGUUUCUUAUGAAUGAAUGCCCAAUGUGUGAAGAGAUUGCCAAAAAAUCUAAGUGUAAGAACUGUACAGGGAAAUGACCCUAAAGUGAUUUGUAUGGCCUACUCCAGACUUGAAGAUUCUUGUUAACAUCCAUUAAAAUAAGAAAGUGAAGUGCAUGACUUUACAUACUUAGCCUUUCUCCCUUUUUCUUCCUUCUUUUUUUCUAAUUCUUUUGUCAUUUUUUGAAAUUUCAGAGGCUUGUGUAGUUUGCUAUUCUUGUUCUUUGAGUAGUUUUGUUCGCAAUAUUUACUUUUAGGUUAAUUUGAAAUGUUAUUUUAUUCUAUUAGAGAAUCCCUCAUCAAUCCUUAUUUGUUAACUGGGAAAAUCACUGAUUAUGUGAUAUGAAAUUUAGGUUAAAUAAACCUCCGAUUUCUUCACAAUGAAGGUGUGAGUUCCAAGUUAAGUUGAAUGCUCCACUGAAAAAAGUGCUAAGUCAGUCAGUUGAUCUCCCAUUGAUUUCACCAUUGUGGAAAAGUUUCUUGCCAAACAGCAGCAGUUUUCAACUGCUUUCUGUGUAUAUUCUGCUGGAUUUUUUCUUUAAAUUUUUUAUCCAUGACGUGCCAUUUUAACAUUCACAACAUUUUACAACACCAAAGUCAGUUGUAUUUACUUUUUCAGCUAUGAUAUUCUUUCAGUUUUGUUCAGAUACUUCCCUUGAAAUUUUGUUUGGCAAUAACAAUAUCCAUUUUCACAACCACAAUACUUGACUUAAAAUUGUCAGAAAACUAAAUGUUUCAGUGUGAUACAAAAAUAAAGUCAAGUUUAAAUCA